GCCUAACUUUGAUAACCCUUUAUCUUACUCUGCUCUUCCACUGCCUCCUUUUCUCUCACAGAGAAAACCUUGAUUGAGAGAACAACUUGUAAGGUCUGUGCGAUCUUAGAUUUGGGGGAGUAUUUCAUAAUUUUAGGGACCCAAUCACUCAAAGGAUGAAUGUUGAACGAAAUUAUUAUUUAGUGGAUUCUGGUUAUCCUUGCACCUUGGGGUUUCUACCUUCGUACCGUACUGAGAGAUACCAUCUAUGAGACUUUCGAGGUGAGGAUCAUCUUGAAGGUGCUAAAGAGCUUCUCAAUUAUAGACAUUCAUCUCUUUGUAAUGUAAUUGAAAGAUGUUUUGGCGUUUUAAAGGCAAGAUUUCCAAUUUUAAAAAUGAUGCCCCGUUACAAACCAUGUCGACAAGGGAAUGUGAUGAGAGCUUGUUGCACAAUUCAUAACUUCAUUCGAAUGGCAACAAGAAAUGAUCGCUUGUUUACUCAAUUCAAUAUUGAUAACCUUACUGUUGAAGGUGAAGGUGGGGAUACUUUGGGUGAGCCAUCGCAUACUAUUGACUUAACUGAUCAAGUCGCUGAAGCUAUGGCAACUUAUAGGGAUCAUAUCGCAAGAUUGAUGUUGGCAAAAAAUAAGCAUCAUUGAUGCCAUGUUAUUUUAUUUUUAUUUUUUAGAUGAAAUUGAUUCCCUGGCAUUGAUGCCUCAAUGCCAUGUAGUAAACUUUUUAGUUAUUGAUUAUCUUUUAUAAUACUUGAUAAUUGUUAUA
Molecule: long non-coding RNA, 759 nt
Organism: Quercus lobata
Lineage: Eukaryota; Viridiplantae; Streptophyta; Magnoliopsida; Fagales; Fagaceae
Exons: 3
Source: RefSeq, a predicted model, not a curated record